CCCCCAACUACCUUAGUGAUUAUUCUAAGUAAUAAACCAUUAGCCCAAGCAAGAAUCAUAAUAUUCAAAAUCAUAUUAAGCUGGUAUCCAAAAUUAUAUAUUUCACGUCAAACUUUCUUUUACCUUCUUGGUUUAAACAUGAAAAAUUAUUUGUAUUAUAUAUUAUAUAUAAAAAAAAACUCUGGCAAUUCAGCCCCUACAUUCAGAUUAAAAGGUCUGCUUUUCGAACAAUAUCGAUUUAUUGGUCUUUUCAUUUUCUGUUAUUAUACUUCUGCCCUAAUUAAUAAUUUAGGAUUCAAUUUUCUAGAUUUCUCCAAAAUUUAUAAUAAGUAAAUUCCACCAUAACACAAAAUUCUUUUCAUAUAAAUUUUCUAAAACUUAUGUAUACAAUUUUUU
This 396-nucleotide long non-coding RNA is filed under the name Mytilus galloprovincialis (Mediterranean mussel). Lineage: Eukaryota; Metazoa; Mollusca; Bivalvia; Mytilida; Mytilidae. The record is from RNAcentral.